Molecule: ribosomal RNA, 253 nt
Filed under: uncultured bacterium
Lineage: Bacteria
Description: partial 16S ribosomal RNA
Rfam family: Bacterial small subunit ribosomal RNA
Source: RNAcentral
UACGUAGGGAGCAAGCGUUAUUCGGAUUUACUGGGCGUAAAGGGCGCGUAGGCGGCGCGACAAGUCACUUGUGAAAUCUCCGGGCUUAACUCGGAACGGUCAAGUGAAACUGUCAUGCUAGAGUGCAGAAGGGGCAAUCGGAAUUCUUGGUGUAGCGGUGAAAUGCGUAGAUAUCAAGAGGAACACCUGAGGUGAAGACGGGUUGCUGGGCUGACACUGACGCUGAGGCGCGAAAGCCAGGGGAGCAAACGGG